GUUGUUGUUGUUGUUGUUGUUGUGUUUAUAUAUAAUCAAUAUUGUACUCUAUAAAAUAUUUUAAAGGUAUCUUUGCCAAGUCUUCACAUGGCUCUUGGAAUUUAUUUAAAUUUUUUCAAUUACUUUGAAAAUGAAGUUCAUGAAUUAUAUAUUUUAAUGGCAGCAGAAGCAUUAAAAAUGAAAAAUAACUAUGCUUCUAGUUGCUCAGACAAAUAUAAAGUAUUUAUAGGAGAAAAGAAGGAGUUAUUAAGUCUUAAAUAUGAGAUUAUCUGCCUUGAUGAAAAACUUGAAUGGUUCAAUGAUAUGGCUUUGCUUGCUGCAACACAGAGUUCUGAUGAGAUGGAUAUUCAAUCUCUUUACAAUUCUGAUAUUGAUUUUAUCAAUUGCAAAAAAGAAGAAAAGGUUUUGAAAUUUACCCUUUAUUUCUAAUCUCUAAUUUUCAUUUAUGGAUCUUGUUUCAAAAAUAUACAGUAAAAAAACCCUCUCACUUGUUUGUUUCAAAUUCAAAAUAAUCUGAACAAGAUUUAUGCAGAUAAGUUAUAUAUUUUUAUUUAUUACUUUUUGACACAUACGUAAUCUGUAAAUUGUCAUUACACAAGAAAUCAAAAUUUAUGCUAAAUGUAUCAAUAAUAUCAAAAAGUGACUAUAUCCCAGUAUUAUCUAAUAUCUAAUAAUGCAUAAAAUUUUUACUUUUUUUUUAAAUAACAAAUAUUCAUUAAAUACAUAUUGUAAAUAUUUUUAUAGGUUAGUCAAUUUAACACUUUAUGUAAAAGCACUCAUUAAAAAAAAGACAGGGGCCAUGCACAAGAAAAAUAGAGACAGUUCUUCAAAGUUAAAAGUGCAACGAAGUCCUCAUUACUUGAGUUGUGUAAUGCUAUUCCAAAGCUUGUUUAUGAAGAAGGAUUAUCUAAAACAGAUGUGCAUAAAAAAGCAAUUGAAACUUGUACAAAAUAUAAAAAACUGUUUGAUAAAUUUGCUCAAUGCUACUUCAUUUUUUCAUCCAAAAAUAUGACAAUAGAAAAUAUGACAACAGAAAAAUUGAAUCUUUUACGUAAGAGUUCAGUAUAAAAAGUUUUUUCUUCUUAAAAAAAACUUCUUAUAAUUGCAUUAACAAACCUUGUAAAUAGGCUAGUAAAAUAAUAAUUAUUUUUUAGAAAAGAAUAUUGAAGAC
Hydra vulgaris (swiftwater hydra) is the source of this 1171-nucleotide non-coding RNA. NCBI's taxonomy places the organism in Eukaryota, Metazoa, Cnidaria, Hydrozoa, Anthoathecata, Hydridae. The record is from RefSeq and is a predicted model, not a curated record.